GGGGGCGAAAUUUGGAUUCGACCGGAUAGCUUGAAGUGGAAGUGGCGUGUCGUGGUUGGUCAGUGGGCCACGCAAAAAGCUGACCACAAAUUUACUUGCCGAGGAAAACCUCGCACUGGCUGCCUAGCAACAGGUAGUCCCGACUGCGGGCCUUAACCGGAGAGUCCCAAAAGUCGGUCGUCAAAUCCGGUUCGCCGACGGUCAUGGCGGGCACGUCGUCGGCUAAAACUGUUCUCGCCUAGUCCGCGACGGACCCGGUCGACAGGGGCCGCUGUGGGCGAAAAUCAAACAGUCGACUACACACGUAGAUGCUUCCAUGGAAAUAUCUCGGGACGCGGGUUCGAUUCCCGCCGCCUCCAUUU
RNAcentral lists this transfer-messenger RNA (362 nucleotides) under Planctomycetaceae bacterium. It matches the Rfam family "transfer-messenger RNA". Rfam says of the family: Bacterial tmRNA, also known as 10Sa RNA or SsrA, is named for its dual tRNA and mRNA-like properties. Its role is to liberate the mRNA from a stalled ribosome. Lineage: Bacteria; Pseudomonadati; Planctomycetota; Planctomycetia; Planctomycetales; Planctomycetaceae. The record is from RNAcentral. RNAcentral also lists the same sequence under 1 other name.